RNAcentral lists this ribosomal RNA (253 nucleotides) under uncultured bacterium. RNAcentral describes it as "partial 16S ribosomal RNA". It matches the Rfam family "Bacterial small subunit ribosomal RNA", at positions 524 to 776 of the family's 1533-position model. The record is from RNAcentral.
UACGGAGGGAGCUAGCGUUGUUCGGAAUUACUGGGCGUAAAGCGCACGUAGGCGGCUUUGCAAGUUAGAGGUGAAAGCCCGGGGCUCAACUCCGGAAUUGCCUUUAAAACUGCAUCGCUUGAAUCCGGGAGAGGUGAGUGGAAUUCCGAGUGUAGAGGUGAAAUUCGUAGAUAUUCGGAAGAACACCAGUGGCGAAGGCGGCUCACUGGACCGGUAUUGACGCUGAGGUGCGAAAGCGUGGGGAGCAAACAGG